This 2905-nucleotide ribosomal RNA is filed under the name Enterobacter bugandensis. RNAcentral's name for it is "23S ribosomal RNA". It matches the Rfam family "Bacterial large subunit ribosomal RNA". The record is from RNAcentral. Lineage: Bacteria; Pseudomonadati; Pseudomonadota; Gammaproteobacteria; Enterobacterales; Enterobacteriaceae.
GGUUAAGCGACUAAGCGUACACGGUGGAUGCCCUGGCAGUCAGAGGCGAUGAAGGACGUGCUAAUCUGCGAAAAGCGACGGCGAGGUGAUAUGAACCUUUGACCCGUCGAUGUCCGAAUGGGGAAACCCAGUGCAAUUCGUUGCACUAUCGUUAACUGAAUACAUAGGUUAACGAGGCGAACCGGGGGAACUGAAACAUCUAAGUACCCCGAGGAAAAGAAAUCAACCGAGAUUCCCCCAGUAGCGGCGAGCGAACGGGGAGCAGCCCGGAGUCUGAAUCAGCUUGUGUGUUAGUGGAAGCGUCUGGAAAGUCGCACGGUACAGGGUGACAGUCCCGUACACGAAAAUGCACAGGUUGUGAACUCGAAGAGUAGGGCGGGACACGUGGUAUCCUGUCUGAAUAUGGGGGGACCAUCCUCCAAGGCUAAAUACUCCUGACUGACCGAUAGUGAACCAGUACCGUGAGGGAAAGGCGAAAAGAACCCCGGCGAGGGGAGUGAAAAAGAACCUGAAACCGUGUACGUACAAGCAGUGGGAGCACCUUCGUGGUGUGACUGCGUACCUUUUGUAUAAUGGGUCAGCGACUUAUAUUCUGUAGCAAGGUUAACCGUAUAGGGGAGCCGCAGGGAAACCGAGUCUUAACUGGGCGUUAAGUUGCAGGGUAUAGACCCGAAACCCGGUGAUCUAGCCAUGGGCAGGUUGAAGGUUGGGUAACACUAACUGGAGGACCGAACCGACUAAUGUUGAAAAAUUAGCGGAUGACCUGUGGCUGGGGGUGAAAGGCCAAUCAAACCGGGAGAUAGCUGGUUCUCCCCGAAAGCUAUUUAGGUAGCGCCUCGUGAACUCAUCUUCGGGGGUAGAGCACUGUUUCGGCUAGGGGGCCAUCCCGGCUUACCAACCCGAUGCAAACUACGAAUACCGAAGAAUGUUAUCACGGGAGACACACGGCGGGUGCUAACGUCCGUCGUGAAGAGGGAAACAACCCAGACCGCCAGCUAAGGUCCCAAAGUCAUGGUUAAGUGGGAAACGAUGUGGGAAGGCACAGACAGCCAGGAUGUUGGCUUAGAAGCAGCCAUCAUUUAAAGAAAGCGUAAUAGCUCACUGGUCGAGUCGGCCUGCGCGGAAGAUGUAACGGGGCUAAACCAUGCACCGAAGCUGCGGCAGCGACGCUUAUGCGUUGUUGGGUAGGGGAGCGUUCUGUAAGCCGUUGAAGGUGUGCUGUGAGGCAUGCUGGAGGUAUCAGAAGUGCGAAUGCUGACAUAAGUAACGAUAAAGCGGGUGAAAAGCCCGCUCGCCGGAAGACCAAGGGUUCCUGUCCAACGUUAAUCGGGGCAGGGUGAGUCGACCCCUAAGGCGAGGCCGAAAGGCGUAGUCGAUGGGAAACAGGUUAAUAUUCCUGUACUUGGUGUUACUGCGAAGGGGGGACGGAGAAGGCUAUGUCAGCCGGGCGACGGUUGUCCCGGUUUAAGCGUGUAGGUGUGUGUUCCAGGCAAAUCCGGUUCACUUUAACACUGAGGCGUGAUGACGAGGCACUACGGUGCUGAAGUGAUAAAUGCCCUGCUUCCAGGAAAAGCCUCUAAGCAUCAGGUAACACGAAAUCGUACCCCAAACCGACACAGGUGGUCAGGUAGAGAAUACCAAGGCGCUUGAGAGAACUCGGGUGAAGGAACUAGGCAAAAUGGUGCCGUAACUUCGGGAGAAGGCACGCUGAUAUGUAGGUGAAGUCCCUGCGGACGGAGCUGAAAUCAGUCGAAGAUACCAGCUGGCUGCAACUGUUUAUUAAAAACACAGCACUGUGCAAACACGAAAGUGGACGUAUACGGUGUGACGCCUGCCCGGUGCCGGAAGGUUAAUUGAUGGGGUUAGCGGCAACGCGAAGCUCUUGAUCGAAGCCCCGGUAAACGGCGGCCGUAACUAUAACGGUCCUAAGGUAGCGAAAUUCCUUGUCGGGUAAGUUCCGACCUGCACGAAUGGCGUAAUGAUGGCCAGGCUGUCUCCACCCGAGACUCAGUGAAAUUGAACUCGCUGUGAAGAUGCAGUGUACCCGCGGCAAGACGGAAAGACCCCGUGAACCUUUACUAUAGCUUGACACUGAACACUGGUCCUUGAUGUGUAGGAUAGGUGGGAGGCUUUGAAGCGUGGACGCCAGUCUGCGUGGAGCCGUCCUUGAAAUACCACCCUUUAAUGGCUGGUGUUCUAACGUGGACCCGUGAUCCGGGUUGCGGACAGUGUCUGGUGGGUAGUUUGACUGGGGCGGUCUCCUCCCAAAGAGUAACGGAGGAGCACGAAGGUUAGCUAAUCCUGGUCGGACAUCAGGAGGUUAGUGCAAUGGCAUAAGCUAGCUUGACUGCGAGAGUGACGGCUCGAGCAGGUGCGAAAGCAGGUCAUAGUGAUCCGGUGGUUCUGAAUGGAAGGGCCAUCGCUCAACGGAUAAAAGGUACUCCGGGGAUAACAGGCUGAUACCGCCCAAGAGUUCAUAUCGACGGCGGUGUUUGGCACCUCGAUGUCGGCUCAUCACAUCCUGGGGCUGAAGUAGGUCCCAAGGGUAUGGCUGUUCGCCAUUUAAAGUGGUACGCGAGCUGGGUUUAGAACGUCGUGAGACAGUUCGGUCCCUAUCUGCCGUGGGCGCUGGAGAAUUGAGGGGGGCUGCUCCUAGUACGAGAGGACCGGAGUGGACGCAUCACUGGUGUUCGGGUUGUCAUGCCAAUGGCACUGCCCGGUAGCUAAAUGCGGAAGAGAUAAGUGCUGAAAGCAUCUAAGCACGAAACUUGCCCCGAGAUGAGUUCUCCCUGAGACUUUAAGUCUCCUGAAGGAACGUUGAAGACGACGACGUUGAUAGGCCGGGUGUGUAAGCGCAGCGAUGCGUUGAGCUAACCGGUACUAAUGAACCGUGAGGCUUAACCUU